RNAcentral lists this ribosomal RNA (565 nucleotides) under Lacticaseibacillus rhamnosus. RNAcentral describes it as "bacterial LSU rRNA". It matches the Rfam family "Bacterial large subunit ribosomal RNA", at positions 2363 to 2925 of the family's 2925-position model. The record is from RNAcentral. Lineage: Bacteria; Bacillati; Bacillota; Bacilli; Lactobacillales; Lactobacillaceae.
GGGAGCUUGACUGCGAGACUGACAAGUCGAGCAGGGACGAAAGUCGGGCUUAGUGAUCCGGUGGUUCCGUAUGGAAGGGCCAUCGCUCAACGGAUAAAAGCUACCCUGGGGAUAACAGGCUUAUCUCCCCCAAGAGUCCACAUCGACGGGGAGGUUUGGCACCUCGAUGUCGGCUCAUCGCAUCCUGGGGCUGUAGUCGGUCCCAAGGGUUGGGCUGUUCGCCCAUUAAAGCGGUACGCGAGCUGGGUUCAGAACGUCGUGAGACAGUUCGGUCCCUAUCCGUCGCGGGCGCAGGAAAUUUGAGAGGAGCUGUCCUUAGUACGAGAGGACCGGGAUGGACGUUCCGCUGGUGUACCAGUUGUGCCGCCAGGCGCAUCGCUGGGUAGCUAUGAACGGAAGGGAUAAACGCUGAAAGCAUCUAAGUGUGAAGCCCCCCUCGAGAUGAGAUUUCCCAUUCCUAUAUGGAAGUAAGACCCCUGAAAGAUGAUCAGGUAGAUAGGCUGGAAGUGGAAGUGCAGCGAUGCAUGGAGCGGACCAGUACUAAUCGGUCGAGGACUUAACCAAG